UAGGGAAUCUUGCGCAAUGGGCGAAAGCCUGACGCAGCCAUGCCGCGUGAAUGAUGAAGGUCUUAGGAUUGUAAAAUUCUUUCACCGGGGAAGAUAAUGACGGUACCCGGAGAAGAAGCCCCGGCUAACUUCGUGCCAGCAGCCGCGGUAAUACGAAGGGGGCUAGCGUUGCUCGGAAUUACUGGGCGUAAAGGGCGCGUAGGCGGAUAUCUAAGUUGGGGGUGAAAGCCCGGGCUCACCUCGGAAUAGCCUUCAAUACUGGAUAUCUUGAGUUCGGGAGAGGUGAGUGGAAUGCCGAGUGUAGAGGUGAAAUUCGUAGAUAUUCGGCGGAACACCAGUGGCGAAGGCGACUCACUGGCCCGAUACUGACGCUGAGGCGCGAAAGCGUGGGGAGCAAACAGGAUUAGAUACCCUGGUAGUCCACGCCGUAAACGAUGAGUGCUAGUUGUCGGCAUGCAUGCAUGUCGGUGACGCAGCUAACGCAUUAAGCACUCCGCCUGGGGAGUACGGUCGCAAGAUUAAAACUCAAAUGAAUUGAC
RNAcentral lists this ribosomal RNA (539 nucleotides) under uncultured bacterium. Its description in RNAcentral is "partial 16S ribosomal RNA". It matches the Rfam family "Bacterial small subunit ribosomal RNA", at positions 355 to 914 of the family's 1533-position model. The record is from RNAcentral.